UCCCUCCCUCCCCUCCCCUCUCUCUCUUUCUCACUUUUCGUUCUUUUUUCUUCGGUACCGCCGGUGUAUCGAUUUUACGAUCGAAUCGUGCCGGUUCCCCGUCGGUCCGGUACGAGAUGGGAUGUACCGACUGGUUCGGCACGGUAUGGCAAACCUUGGUCCCAGGUAUUUGGGACUCUUUGGUUAACCAAAUUGCUUCAGAUUCGACUCGAUUUGGAUCCGACUUGAAUCUGAUUCAAAUCAAAUUCGAAGAGCCUGUCAAUCCUAAUCUAAUUAGGAUUUUGGUCUAAGUCUAACUUGGAUUUUUAACCGAAUUCAAAUCUAAUUAUAUCAGAUCUAAUAUGAAAUUAAUUAGCCCUUGAAUUCAAUCUCUCAUAAAUCUCUUGGAUCAUUGAUCAGACCAUUAUCAUUCUCGAAACUAAACCUUAAUCUCAUGUCCAGUGUUAGCUAGAUAUAGUUAACUAUUUAAUCUCGUAUGAUCUUUAACUUAAUUCUCAAUUAAGUUAAUCUAUUCAUUCAAUCAAGUCACAUAUUUUCAAAUUGAACUUACAGACUUAGGUUAAUUCUUUCUUACAUUAUUUGACUUAGUGCAUGACUCCAUAGGUUCGAACGCUAAGUCGGUAGCACCAGAAUCAUUUCUUGUACUAAUCGAAGUUAUCAUUUAGCAAUGGUUCUUGACGUUCGGAUAGGUCGAAUAUUUUCAAGGCAAUAUUCAAGAACCUACGCAUAUGGUUAUCGCAUAAUUCAUCCCUUUAACCUUGAAUGCUCAAGGAUGACUUUGGGUUUCAUUGUCGACCUUAGGGUUUAACUAUCAACUCUGGAGGAGUCAUCCAUAUUAUAUUUCAAUUUUUCAUAUCCAUCAUAUGGAUUAUCCGGACCCAGGUUUUACUAAAUUGAAAUAUAGUGAUGCAUUAAUUCUUGUAAUCCGGAGGGGUCAAUUCCAUCUUGAUCCAAACAGACUUCGCAAGUACUUGACUGUACUCAGUAGCCUUCUGUCACUGCAUUAGAAAUGCAGAUAGUCCGGCACCAAAGCGCAGUGAGUUACUUGUAAGUCACUAUUGGUGAUCUUAGGUCUGAGAGACACUUAUGCCCAUACGUUUCGCGAGCUGCUUUUGACAGCAGAACGCUCUGCAGGUAAGUCACUUGUUCAGUAACGAUGUACUCCUACAUCUCACCUAUAUGCCAUAUCAGUGUCUCUACACUCCUUGGUUAUGAGGACAACCAAUCUAUAUGGCACACAAGGAACUACACUCGAUAAACGUCAUCGUCUCUUAAUGAAGUAUCAUUUGAUCGCGAACAUGUUUAAAAACUAUUCGAUAAAUUCUUUUUUAUCGAUUGUCAUAUAGUUCUAAAGAUUUUAUCAUAACGUGAGUUCUAAUAAGGAAGAUGUACACCUUUGUGAUGAAAAUACCAAAAUAACCUUUAUUCAUUCAUAAUUCAUAUACAAAUGACAAAGAGCACAAUCGUCCAAACGAUUGGCUUUAGGACAUAUUUUCUAACAGAUCCUCUAACUUAUUCGGAAGCAUUCAUGAGUAGAGACUCUGACAGCUAGCUUCAAGCCAUAAAAUCUGAGAUGGACUCCUUGUAUGUCAAUCAAGUGUAGAUUUUGGUUGAUGCACAUACGGUUGUAACCCCAAUAGAUUGCAAAUGGGUCUUCGAGAAGAAGAUUGGAGCUAAUGGCUAGGUAGAGUCCUGCAAAGUCAGGCUAGUGGCAAAAGUUUUGAGACAAAGGUAAAGUGUUGACAAUGAUGAAACUUUUUCGCCUAUAGCCAUGUUCAAGUCUAUUCGGAUUUUGCUUGCUAUAGCUGUAUAUUAUGAUUAUGAGAUCUGACAGAUGGAUGUGAGCACUGCUUUCCUCAAUAGAUAUCUUGAGAAAAAAAUCUACAUGUCUCAUCUAGAGGGAUUUGUUUCUAGUGGGAGGGUAAAUCAAGUAUGCAAGCUAAAAAAAUUUAUUUAUGGAUUAAAGUAGGCAUCGAGGAGUUGGAACGUCUGUUUUGAUAAGAUAGUCAAAUCAUUUGACUUUAUCAAAAAUAUGGAUGACCCAUGUAUAUAAGACAAGUGGGAGUGCCGCUGUCUUCUUCAUUUUGUAUGUAGAUGACAUACUAAUCAUUGGGUAUGACAUCUCAAUGCUGCAAUUGGUCAAACUCUGCUAUCACAAGUUUUUUAUGAAAAAUAUGGGUGAAGCAUCCUAUAUACUUGGUAUAACGAUCUAUAGAGAUAGAUUUAAACAGAUGUUAGGCUUGUCCCAGUCUAGGAACAUAAAUCUCAUGUUGAAGAGGUUCAACAUGGAUGGGUGUAAAAGAGGUUAUUUACUUAUGAGUCAUGGCAUACAUCUUUCUAAGAAGUCUCUUAAGACACCCGAAGAGAGAAAUAGAAUGAGUUCUAUUUCUUAUGCUUCGGUUAUAGGAUCGAUAAUAUAUGCUAUGCUAUGUAUUAGGUUUGAUGUUGCUUAUGCCUUGGGCAUUGCAAGCAGAUUUCUGGUAGAUCUAGGAGAGGAUUAUUGGAAAGCAACGAAGAGUAUACUCAAGUACUUGGGAAGGAUUAGAGAUGCUUUUCUCAUUUAUAGUAGUUCGGAUUUGAAACUAGAAGGUUAUAUAGAUUCUAGCUUUCAAUCUGAUCCAGAUGAUAGCAAAUCCAUCUCGGGAUAUGUAUUUAUCCUAAAUGGAGUAGUGAGUUGGAAAAAUUCCAAAUAGCAGACUAUAACUGACUCAGUUACUGAGGCAGAGUACAUUACUACAAUUAAGGCUGCUAAGAAAGCUGUUUAGAUGAAGAAGUUCAUCUUUGAGUUGGGUGUCGUUCCUGAAAUUCAACAUCUCAAGCCCCUUUAUUGUGAUAACACUAGGAUUGUUGCUCAAGUAAAGGAACCAAGGUCUCAUUAGAAAUCUAAGCACAUUUUGAGGUGGUUCUAUCUCAUUCAAAAAAUUAUCGAAAGAUAAGAUGUGAUUAUAAAGCGAGUAGACUCCAAGAACAAUAUAGUGGAUCCGUUCACUAAAGUCUGGUCACAGCAGCAGUUUGACCGCCACCUUGAUAGCAUGGAGAUUAAGUACAGGGGCGAUUGGCUUUAGUCCAAAUGGGAGAUUGAUAGAAUAGUGUCCUACAAGCUAGUCGCAUGGUUGAUGCGAUGGGAUUAUUGUGUAUUUUUAUCUUCCUACCCAUGUACAUGAUAAUAAUCAAUUGCUAAUAAAAUAGGUAUUUUUGUUUCAUCAUGUGCUACCUCUUAUCACUUGACUAAGAUUGUAAUGGACCUUAUAGAUUAGGGCAAUGUUUUAGGGUCAUGAUGAUGAGAUCACACCAAUAAGAUCUGAAAUUAUGGUGUUCUCAAUCUAAAAUAUUUUCAGUCGUAAGAUUAUUGAGUCGGGGAUCAAUGAUUUCAGUAAGACUGGCACGUCUUAUAUAUGUUUGAUGGAGAUGGUGAUUAAUCUCACAAUCACUUGUAUGGUGACACUAAUACAAGGAUGUGGGUGCUCAUUGGAGAAUGAUUUCACUAAAUUGACCUAUAGAGAGAACAUCUGAUGGAGCCUUACAAGCAUGUCAGCAGAUGGCUCUCUAGUGAGAGUGGUACAAAUGAUCCUUAGAUUUAAGAUCACCAUGAUACCUUGUGUAUGUGGAUCUGUAUUCUGGUUCAUAUCCUAGCAUGACUCUCUGAGAUAUGUGUGGGAUGUUCUAAGCAUGGUGAAGUGUGUAUGGAGAUUGUGAGUGGUCAACAAGAAAUCGGUCACUUCUUAUAAGAGGAGUACAUCGUAUGUGAUCUCAUAGGAUGAUGACUCAUGAAAUCUUUGGCCAAAAUAGGAUGAAAAUUAGAAAAAAAAUUUAAUAUUUCAUCAUCUGAGUCAUCAUCAUUGGAUUGAGAUAUAUAUAUGGAUAGGUGCAAAGAUUUAAGUCCCGACGGGAUGGGGGCAGUCUUGGCCGUCCUGUCCCGUUCCUUUGAGAAUUCGGCACCAGGGACGGGUGUGGGAUACCGAAACUCAUUUCCGGCCUUCGUCUUGGCCGUUCCAUAUUAAUUUUGAUCGAAAUGGGCACCGGUACGACCGUCUUGGUCGUGCCCUAUUUUUUUUCAUUGUCGAAUGCAACUAAGCCAUUCGUCGUCGGAAGGGGAGAAUAAUGAAGGAAAAAGAAACACUAACCUAUUUUUUGCUUAUGCGUUGGCACCAAAGGGAGCACGGUCUUCUCCGUUUGAUUUCGAUUUUUCGAGAGUAGGAUAAGUUAGGAGGCAGCUCAUUUGGGGAAGGGGAAGGGAGGAGAGAGGAGAGAGAAGGAAGCCAUUGGAUUUUCUGACAAGGAGCCCAACCGAGAGGGAGGAGGGAGCAUCAGACCAAGAAGGAAAGGACUCGGGGCCUUUCGGAAGGUUCUCCCAGCCUUGACGCCUUCCGGUCGAUCGCAUCGGGCAUCAAACCUUCCGCAUGAACCAGGGCAAAUCUCGAAGCAUAUGCACGAUGGAUGGCACACAAUCGGGAAUUAGUGACAUAGAAGGGAGUGUGGCGUGUUAUCGACCAUGGGAUUUGACGUGGUUUAAUUAUGCCAGGUGCAUGCAAUACAUAACCCGCGCCCAUGUCCGAUCUCGUGCCCGUUUCUCUUCACACCCGCACCUCUUUGCGCCCGAUUGUAAAUUAAAAAAAAUCACAUUGACAAUGGAACAUCAACGAACAUGUAUCUAUAUUUUGAAGGACUGAAUUUUUGAUUGGAUUCACACCAUACGGCAAAAAAAAUUCAUGAAACUAAAUUAUUUUAAUAUAACAUGACUCUCAAAUCUAUAAGAAUUCAAAGUGACAAGCUAAAUCAUUCGUAGGAUUAAAUUAUUUCUGAAGCCCGGCUAAUUUUUUUGGAUGAAUUGACGUGGCCAACAUGUAAAAAAGAGUAAAAAAAAAAUGAAACUCUUGCAUGACCGAUAAUCUGAUAGGAGACGCCCGAUCGUAUACCAGGAAGCCGAUCCUGUACGACCAUCAGGACGGGGUGGGAUGUGGGGUGUCCCGUUCCAGAGGAAAAUCAGGACGCCCCUGUCCCAUGAGAUUUAAAACCUUGGAUAGGUAUUUGAGCUUAAUAUGAUUUCAUGCCCAUAACUUAUCAGGAUGUUGUAUGAUUGAAGGAUUGAAUUGUAUCGUAACUUAUCGCUGAAAGGUAUUUUGAUAAUUUUAUCAAAAUUUCACAUCUUCUAGAUAGUCAUGACACAUUGCUAGACGUCAAUCUUGACUUGUGAACUUGCAUGAAUUAAAAGAGUUUAAUUCAGUAAUCAAUUAGGAGUUCUAAUUGAUUGAUACAAUUGGGCUUGACCUAAUUUGAUUGAGUUAGCUCGAGUCUACUGCUGGCUAGAUAUGGAACUCAAUAGGUCACACACAUAUGAGAUUAGAUCUUGGACCCAUCAAUUUGGGUUUAUGUGAAAUCUUAAUGGGUUUAAUCAACAUGCUGGCACAUGGGUUCAUCCAAGUUUCGAAUUGAGUUUGACCUAAUCUCUUUGGACUGAUCAAACCCAAGGUACCCAAGAGUUGUGCACCAGAUUAAGAUGGGGCACCUAUUUUUUCUCAUGCCCAAGAGAUAAUGAUCUCACGUAAAGGGGAGAAAUUAUGGGGCGCCAUCUGGUUUCCUAAUAUAGUCUAACCAUUAACCAAGUCAAAAGAUGUUGCACGCCAUCCUUAGCCCAAGAUGUUGUGCCAAGAGAGAGGAUAUUUGGCGCCCAAAGAUGUCUGGAUGGAAUUCAAUCUUUGACUAGGUCAAAGGAGGCUCACGCCCCUUAGAGUCCAUGCGCUCAAACCUUCUUAACAUGGAAGGGUUUCAUAAGAAAGAGGUUUGGUGCAUGAGAAGGAAGAGUCCUCUUGGUAAAAUUCUUUUUUUCCCUGACGCUCAAGGUUUUAAAAAUCGAUACCAGUGACCAUCUCGAUCACCAAUCGGUUUGGUACCAUACCGACAUAUGGUACAGUGGUGUGUCGGCCAAAUCGGCACUCCAAUUUUUUUUGCUUUUUUCUUUUCUUUUGGGUGGGAGGUGUCCAAUCAAGUUUUAAUGAAUUAUUAAAUAAUUUAAAGUCCAAAAUGAUAUUUAGUGAUAUUCAUUAAUGUUCGUAACUUCGUAUCACUUUGAUACAUCUUUAAUCGCAUGUGACACGAAUCUAAGUAUGAUAUUAUAUUAUUUAGCAUCCUAAAUAAUCAAUAUAUGGACUAGAUAACAUUGGAUUUUAAAAUGCUUAAAUCAAUUAAAAAUCUAAAAAUACUCAAUACAUAUCGAUCAUUAGAAUUUAGUCGAUCGUCGAUGUCCAUAAAUAGCAUGAUCAUCUAUAUAGUCAGGAGGAACAUCAGUCUAUCUUUCUAGCCAUAUAGCAUUAUAAUCUUCUGUGCUCAUUUCGUAAGGCAGGCAGGCGUGUUGGAUCAUAACUCAUCCUUGAUCCCUCACUGAGGUUUUGACUCUGAGCUAUCAUCGAGCUGAUAGCCUGGUUGUGAAGAGGCCUAUCCAAAAAAAUCGAUAGCAAAUUUCGAUCCAUAAAAUGCUCCGGGCUACAUAGGAUAGUAGCCACUAGAAGAUGAUGUCUCCGAUGAACCAUAUCCAUAUUCGUAAGGAUCAUAGGCUGCUUGUGGAUGUGGAUAAGAGGAUCCAAAAUACGAGGACGAACUUGAUAUAUCUAUUUAUCCUACUUCACGUGCGAGGUCUUCUGUAGCUACAUCAUAUCCUGAAUGAACUCGCAGAGCCCGUCAUCUGUAUGAAAUUGUAUCAUCAUGGGCUCUACUAGCUCGUAUACCGUAGUCCCUAUCUUAUGUGGCAUGUGUAAACUGAGACCACUAGUGAAUAAAAGAUCACCAACCGGCUGUCUCCUAUCCUUCGGUCCCUCCAUGAUCAUCAGAUCCAUGAGUAGCUGAAGAACUAUCAUCACUGCUCUGUCUGGUGUUUGAAUUUGAGUGAACUGAAUGCUCACUUUCUACUGGAGCUGCAACUGCCUUUUCUUUUCUUGUCUUUGUGCUUAGCAGUUGUUUGCCCUCUCAUUAUGCCUUGCUCUGGCUGCCUAGGCUGCGAGGGUGGAUGCUGUGGCGUAACGGCUGGAGGUCUAUAUGAAAUGUUGCUACUUGUCCAUUGAGAGGCGUCCACCCCAGCCUCACUAGCAACAAAACUGGCAGGUUGUGGAGGCGAUCCUGGCUCAUCAAGCUUUGGCUUUUGCUGCUGACUCAUAAUCCAUCCGAUCAUCGGAUCUUCAUCUUCACAACAAAAUCAUUCAUAGUCGAAUCUAAGUACUUCAGCUAAAUUUCCUCAAUACAUUUGAGUCUCAGCCUCAAAUUAUAGUACACAUACACAAGAUCAUUGAGGCAUUUUUGUUUUAGACAGUUCCUCUGUUUGCUUUGGAUAAGGGCAAAGGUUGACCAGUAGCACUCACAUCCACUCGAUGAAAUCAUUUGGGAGAGGAUCUUGAUGGCAAGAUCUUUCAAAUUUCAUACGAAUCCACCAAAAUGCAUCCAUCGUUCAGCUGCAAAAUCAUUGAAAUUUAGCAAAAUCAAAAAGAAAAUUGAAUAUGUUGCACAUAGAUUUUCAUAAUUGAUUAAGUUUAUUUAUACAAAUUUUGAAAGAGUUUUUGAUUUGCUGCUUACCUGCUAAAUGUAACUUCUUACCCAUUUGAUAGCUCUAUCGAUGGUCGAUGAUCUUGAUGUACUCAUCGGCAUGCUGUGGAUCUACCAUCUUGAUUUGUUCUUUUGUUCUCUCCAUCAUAUAAUAUAAGAAGUCCAUUUGAGGAUAUUGCUCACCAUCCAUGGCUUGAAGCACUUCAUAUGGAGGCUUGAUAGCCACCACUAUCUUCUCGGCUCGCUGCCAGAAUGACUGUCUCAUUACUAAGCUCUCCACAUUGCUCCCUUCGGUGCCUAUCCGGGCAUAUUUGUUUUGUUGCCACUCAGGACUGACAAACAUCUGACGUAGAUAUAAUUUCUUUUCAAUCAGGCUAUCAAGUGCUAUAUAAUUAGUAGCAAAUCGUGUGACAUCUGGUUUCAAUAUAUCACCUACGGCAAAUUGCUGUAUCAAUGAUAGGAUCCAUGUAUGGUUGUAGAUGAAUGUAGUGAUGUUCUGUCCUGACUCCACUAUCUUUUGCACCCUACAAAUCUUUUCAAUAUCCAUUAACAUCAGAUCGAUACAAUGUGCAGCACACGGGAUCCAAAAAAUAUGCGGUCGCUGCUCCAUUAAUAUCUCCCCUGCAGCCUUAUACUAUGGUCCAUUAUCUGUAAUAACCAGCAUGAUAUUUCGCUCUCCUAUUUGAUCAAUCACCUCCAUCAAUCUGAGGAUGUAGCUGGCAUCGUGCACCUCAGCUAAGCAUCAACAGACAUGUGAAAAAAUAUUUUUCCAUCACAAUAUGUCAAGAAGUUGAUGAUGUUUCGUCUAGUAGGAUCAGUCCAACCAUCACACGUCACAGUCAACCCAUAUAUCGGCCACUUGCUCUGACAUGAGGCAAUCUAUUUUUCAAGAUCCUUCUUAUUCUGGUCAAGAAGCUCACCAUAGAUAUCCUUUGGUCCUUGAGGAUCUACAUCUGGACCGGCAUCCUGUAUAGAUGAAAUGAUAGUGAUAAUAUAGGUUGUCUGCUGCAUUCGCUGGGAUAUGACUAAAGUGAAACCAAGAUCCAAUAGCUCGUCACAUAUCCUUCUUCUUAUCUUUUUUCAAUAUAGUAUCAAUCCUAUGUUGCUUGGAAUCUCUAUCAGGAAAUGCGUAUAGAUCUAAGUCGUGGAUAGUGGCUCCUAUUGGAAUCUCCUUAGAGGACUUCUUUCUACUGUCAAAUGCUCCUAAUAUGGAUGCAAGAUGGCUAGUGCCUCUACUGGCGGACUCUCUAAUUGAGGAUGUUCUUCAAAAUCGUGAUUCAGACUCUGUUGCGGUGCUCUUUAAGCCUGACCUGCUCUCAUAAGUUGACGGCCCAAAUCGAGCUUUGUGCUUGGCUAUCUCUUCUAGUUGCCACUGAUUAUCCAAGCUCAUCCGAAUGGCAGCAUCGAUCUAUGCCUGCUUAUCAUCUGAAACAGAUCUUUUCUCUGACUCUCUAGAGUGAUGAGAAGGUAGUUUUGCUACUCGAUGAUCCAUCUCUGUCUUUUUCAUUAAUUUUUUUUCCUUCGUUGUUUUAAAAUUAGCAAAAUAUUUCUUUAUUAAUUGACGAACCUAUUGUGGACACUCAUGGCAAAUAGCUACAUUCGGAUAGCCGCCAGCUAAAUGUUGCUUCAACUGUGUAAUUUCUCCCUUGAAUUCUAUACUACACUAUUUACAUUUCCAAUGAUGUCGAUUUGAGAGCAUCUCUCCAUACUCCCAACUAAUAUCACGUUCUAGGUCCUUUUUCUUCCUUGAUGGAUUCAUUCUUGAAAAUUGAUAAGCACAUCACUUCAAUAAUUAUGUAAAAAUGAUAGAUUUCGUUUGCCUAAUUUUUUUAUAUUUUAAAUUAUUUAUUUAUUUUUUAAAAUUUUAUAAAAUAAAAUAUAUUAAAAAUUUAAAAAAUUAUGAAAAAAUAAUUUGAUCUUGGAUCUAUAUAGAAUCUUACCAUGGAUAAUAUAUAUAAUGUUCUUAAAUGGUGGACAUGCAUGAAGUGUUUUUUUUUUUCAAAUUUAUGCCUAGGCCAUUGUGCGUAAGAUGCAUUGAAACAUUGAUAAAUGGGCACCAUAUUUAUGUCAAAAAUAGCUUGCAAGUUCCUAAAUAAUAAUUUAAUUUUAUAGUUAUUUUUUGAAAUUUAUUUUUUAAAUUUUUAUUUGAAAAAUAUAUUUUUAAUUUAAAAAUUAUAUAUUUAACGAAAAUUAAUGAUUUUAGUGUCAUUGUGUAGAUCAUCCAUAGAUCUAUAACAUAUAUUAAAAUCAUGUCAAAAAAAAAUUUUGACAGUUUUCUCUUGUUUUUCUAUUUUUUACAAAUUUAAAAAAAAAGAGAGAAAGGAAAGAGAGCAUGGUUUUGAGAAACAUACCUUAAAAAGCUUUAAUCCACGUAUUCCUUGAGUCUUCCUACGCCUCUCGGUGUUAGAGAGUAAGAAAUGGAGAGAGACUGAGAAAUAGAGAAGUCGAAAGACUUCUUCUCUGUCUAUUGAAAGAAGGUCGAAUCGGGCAGUUUGGCUUGGUUAAGCUAUGUACCGCUUGGUUCACAUCGAAAUUGUUUGGUUCAAGGCUGAACCGGGCGGUUCUCUUUUUUUUUUUUUGGUCGGAUGCCGAAAACCAGGCCCGAACUGAUUCGGUUCAGUGCCGAUCCAGUUCGGCACGCUCUGAAUCGGGUGGUUCGGUCCGAUUUUGAAAAGCAUGCUAACGCCCAUGAUUUAAUGCCUUCAUUAGCCAAUGUUUAAAAGGUUUUUUCAUGUGGGAUUUGAGAGACUGAAUGCCUCAAUUAUUCAUGCUUUUUAUGGUAUUAAUUCUCUAGGUUAUGCGCCAUUCUCUUUCGUUUAUUUCUGCCCUUGCGAUGAGAAUGCCUUGGCCACUAUAUAAGGGAGGUGCUCCACCUGGUUUUCCAAACAAUCCAACCAAGGCAAGCAAGCCUAGAUAGAAAGGAAAUCCAUUUGUGGGGUGAGAAAUUUAGAGAGAGCCUAAGCAGUUAGGCAGCUAGAGUGGGGAGGAAGAGAAAGGCAAAUCUGCCUCUUCUUAAAAAGGCUGGUCUUCAAGGUUUGGGUUCUAGAUUAGAAAGAGUUGUUAGCCAUAUCUUUUGAGAAAAGAGAGGCAACUGGAUUUGAUCCAAGAAUGAAAUCAAAUGGUUGACAUUCUUCAGAAGGGUUCAGCAAAAUUCAGAUUGUGAAGGUCCCUGAUCGAGCUGCUAUGUGGAUUAUCGUUGGAGGGCACACACUUGGGUGCCUUGUGGAGUCUGAAUCGAAUCAGAUAACAUUCUGAUUCAAGGUAAUUGACUAACCUAUUUUAUGCUUUAUAUUGUUUGAUCGCUAAUCUACAAUGGAUCAUUAGGAUUGGGUUUUGGUCUGCACAUGUUUUCAUAAGAUGUUAGCAUGCAAAAAAAAAUUUUGAAAUCCAAUUCCACCGCGCAACCCGAAACCCAACAAUUGGAACAAUGUGACCUAAGAAAUUUUUUUUAUAUCGAUAUAUUCAAAAUUAGUAUGCCAUUGGAUAUAGUAAAUUGAUUCAAGCCAUCUAGUUUAUAUUUUGAGUUUCAAGUUAAUAAUUUAUUAUUUUUUCUUUUUUAAUGGCUGAAAUCUUAUAUGUAGAAAUCCAAUAAGUAAAAUUUCAGUUGAUAGGAAAUAAGCCUCUGAAAUUUAAGAGACAGAAUUUAAUAUACUUAAACUGUUAAAUAUAAUUUGUAUAGAAAUUUAAUAUACAUGAUUUAGGACACUGAAAUAUGAUAAGUACUGAAAUUUAAUUAUCAGAAUUUUAUUUCUUGUAAUUUAUUGUAAAGAAAUUAAAUUACAAAAUUUUCAGUGGUGCAGAAAUUUAGUUUUAGACACAUAUCUAUACCAAUAUAACAGUCAUUAACUUUACUGUUAUCUUAUUAAACUCAUUCAUAGAAUUGUUAUUUUACAGAAAUUUAUAUUGCGGAUAUUUAAUAUACAGAAAUCUACUAUAAACGUAUUGCAAACCAUUCAAUAAUUACUUUUCAGAAAUUUAAGGCAAAUUUUGUUUCUUGGAGACUAAUUUUGUAGAAAUUGUUUUUUAUAGAUGACUUCUUUUUCUUCUUAAACAAAUAACGUACAUUAGGAAAAUCACUUGAAUGUUUGAAUAAUAAUGGAGAGAAAGAAGGAAAGGAGAGGGAUUUAUUGUAGAGACUUGCAAGAAGUUGGGAUUAAUGUGUGCACGCGAGAAAGAGAAGUCCAUUGCUGGGCUUCUCAUGUGAAUGAGAAAGGGCAAGUGUGGGCAUGCAGGGUUUGGGUUUCUCAAGAAAGGGGAGAAAGGAUGAAGGGUGUGAGGCAGUUUCGAUGCAACAGAUAGAUGAAUAGAUAGAUUGAGAGAGAGAGAGAGAGAGAGAGAGCAAUGGGUGUGAGAAGAGAUGGGGGGUUUGGGAUUUAGAGGGCAGCAGGCCCAUAUCUAAACCAAGUAGGACUCCCUCCUAUUUCUUUUUUAAAAAAGCUGGGUCUUACAAGUACCUUUCUCAUAUUCACUAUCUUCUAUUGUCACAUUCUGUUCUUCUGCUUCAACAUCUUUUGUCAUUGUCCAUUCCUUUUCAGAUUCUUCCUGCCCAGUCAUUUCUGUUUGCAUGCUUCGACAGUGCUGUCAUGAUUGUUGCCUUUGAAGCAGUCCAUGUGGAUAUGUUUUUAAAAGGGAAAACUUAAACAUGCAGUUUAGGCACACUUAUUUUUUGACAUAACUGUCCUUGUAUUUUAGGCAACAAAGAAGAUGAGGGCAGUGGUUUCACAUGGCCAAGAGGGGACUCUGGAGAGCGGGGCAUCCAGUCGUUGAAUUUUCAGUCACUUGGUAUGGGCCCUUGGGUUCAAAAGUCACUUGAACCAUUAAUGCUGGGAAAUGAGCUCAAUUUGUGCCAAGCCAUCUCUGCUGUAGGUUCGCAGGAAAUCGGAGAUGGGGAUUUUCUGAUGCAGCAAUUUCUUCAGUAUCAACAACCUUUUCCAUUUCCUCAACAAUCCAGCCGAAAUAAUCCAUUGCUGCAGCAGCAAAUUUUUCAGCAGGCUCCUCAAGAGCAGAUUGUCAUCCCUCAGUCACAACGUGCAACUGAGAAUCUUGCACAUUCUGUUUCAGACCAGCAGUUGCAGCAAACUCAUAAUGAACAGCAUAAGCAGCAGAUUCAACAACCACAAACACAUGCAGAGGCAUUUCAGAUUCCAAACAAUCAUAUGCAGCAGCAACAAUCACCUUUGCCACCUCAGUUGCACCAAAAAUCAGUGUUUCCUGAUUCAAGCUUAAACUUUUCACCAGUCCCUGCAUCUAGUUGCAUCCAGGGUAUGUUGGGGUCUUCUCCUCCUGAUGGAAAUGCUACCAUUCUUAACUGGUCUAGACUUGGUAAUCCCAUAAUAUGUGAGCAGAAUCAGCAAGCUUGGGAGCCUAGGUUCACAAUGUCAGAGGUCCCUCCUUUUGGCAGUACUGUUAUGCUUCCUUCAUUUGCUGAGAAGGAUACUUCUGUGGGAAGUGAAAAUUGUUCAAAUCUGCAGAACCAUACCCUGUAUGGUAUUGGCAAGGAUACGCCCUCCCUCUCCAUUGCAGUGCCUAACAUUGGCAUAAGUGAUACUGGCAAUGAUCUAUCAACAAUGCCAUAUCCUGCUUCAUGUUUUCAGAAUUCUCUAUAUGGUUACCUCGAUGGAUCUUCGGGCUCGCUGCAAAGUGCAGCAGAGAUUGAUCGAGCAACCCGAACAUUUGUGAAGGUAUAACUUAAAUAACGUGCUUCCACAUUAUAUAAUAUUAUUUUUUGACUGAAAAGGCCUCUGUUUACUUAUGCAGGUUUAUAAGUCUGGAUCGAUUGGGAGGUUGCUGGACAUCACUCGAUUCAGCAGCUACGAUGAACUUCGUGAGGAACUGGGUCAGAUGUUCGGUAUUGAGGGUCUAUUGGAUGAUCCUCUUAGAUCAGGCUGGCAGCUUGUAUUUGUCGACAGGGAGAAUGAUGUGCUUCUCCUUGGAGACGAUCCAUGGGAGUAAGAAAAUCACUUAAAACAAUUAUUCUAGAUCUUCCAGGAUUUGCUCUUUCUGUAUGUACUAUGUACUUUUGUCAUAAGCUCUGCAUGGAACUAGGUCACGGUCCAAUGCCCAGACAAUUCCUGUGUAUGUGUUCCUUGAUGCAUUAAAUGUGCUACUUGCUCAGGUGCCUGCUUAGAUUACAAUUUUCUUUUUCAUAAAUUUUUCAAUAAGCAGCAAAAUAUUGUUGAAAAUCAGAGUGUAAUAUAAGAGAUUUUCAAAUUUAACAAGGUCAUAAAGGAAAGAAAGGUCAUACAAAAAUAAAUGUGUGGAGCAGAAAAGCUUGGUCAACACAUUGAAUGAUGAGUCCUUCGACCCAAAACAGGGAUAUGAUUGACCAAUGCACUAAUAAAUAUCUGCUUCCAUGCCUACUUUAAUGAACAACCAUUUUUCUUUCCCAUGUACCUAAUUCAUAAUGCUCUUUGAAGUAUUUAUUGGUCAGUCUGAUUUAUGGAUUCAAUGACCAAGUUGUUGUUAGAAAGUAGAGUAGGGUGCAUGUAUAAAUUUCAAAAAUCUUUACAAUCAUAGCAGAAAAACAAUCGGGUUAAACUCUUUAACCCCACAUGCAUUAGAUCUUAUCUAAUCCUACCCAAGUCCAAGAGAAAAGACAUACAUAUAAUUUGAAAAUUAAAAUUAGGAUGAGAUCAAAUCUCUAUAUCUUUGUGCGGGUAGAAAUUCACCGCUACCGAUGAUCACUGAUUUGAAGGUCCUCGAGCUGCACACGUGUCCGGUCUCUACAGGUAUCUAUCGGGAUCAAUCUUGAAUCAAUCUUCUCGUAGUAGAUUCUUCUUCAAGUAGGAUCUCAGUCCUUUGGAAUCUCGAUCAACUCUUUGAUCUUCACUGCAAAAUCAAUCCUUUGAACUGCAGCUUUUUCUCCUCGUUCCUCGCCGUAGAAGGAGACUCAACUCUUGGCGUGUAUAGAAGUGGGACACCCAACUUUUGGGCAUUGGGAAGAGAAGAGAAAGAAGGGGUGGCGUGGAGAAGGAGAGAGGGAGAGAGAUCUAUUUUUAAUUAAUAAUUUUUUUUUUUAAAAACCCUAGGAGACCUUCUCUUCGUAUAGGCCCUUUCUUGAUCUAAAUCAGGAAUCCAAUUAACUUAAAAAGGCACAUCCUUAUCUCAUAAGGAUUUCUACCUUUUUAAUCUGAUUUUUUCCAAUAAAAUCAGACUUAAUUUGUAGAAUAUCAGCCCACUUUGGCAAGUAUAUGGGGCGCCCCAGUCAGAUAUGGAAAUCUGAGUGGGCGCCCAAUGCCCCUUGCAGAUAGAGCAGGUAAGUGGGGCACCAAGUGUAGGUGGGGCGCCAACACUUGGCACCCCCUUAGGGUUUUAUUGCUCAAGAGAGGGGGCAUGGCCCCCCCUCUCUCUCCUUCCAGGCCCAUCCACAAGAGGGGGUGGGCCCCUCUUACAUUAUCCAAGGGUUGGCGCCCCUUGGUCCUACCAUAAAGGGAGGGCGCCAUACAUCUUUCCAAUAAUUUCAUACAACAUUAAGAGAUAAUGAGGAGAUAAUUUAGCCAACUAAUUGGCUUAAUCCAAUCCUCUUGGGCUCACAAUUAGGCACCCAAUUAAAUCCAAAUAGAUUUAAGUAAGGUUUAAGGCUAUGGACUUGAUCCAAUCGAAGUUCCGAAAAGAAUUAGGUUUAACCAUAUGCUAGCAUGGUUCUAUUAAACCCAAUAGGAUUCAAUGAAUCCUAACCUAAUUAAAACUUUAUAAGUCCAAUUGGCAAAUUUAAGAUUAAAUUUUUUAAUGUGUGACCCCAUAAGUUUCAUUCUAUCUGAUAGUGAGAUAUAUUGUGAUCUCCAUCACAAUAUCAUCGAAACUCUUUUCGAUGGGUUGGAACAUUUUCAAUUCUACCCUUCGAGAGUCAUCGAUCAUAAAGAUGACGCUCGAUGAGUCUCACAAUCCACUAGUGACACCUAGCAAUAUGUAGUGGCAAUCUAAUAGAAUGAAAGUAUGAACUCCUAGGUGCAGUUAUCGUAUGAUUCAGUCCUUCUAUCGUGAGUUCCGACUUGACGGAGGUUAUGGAGAACUCGUCAGACCCUAUUGUCAGUCAUAUGCUAGAUUGGCUCGAUUCGAGUUCAUUUAUGAAUUUCGUGGAAACUCUUCUUCAGUAUUCACACUUGCUUUCGCUAAAGACUUCCUGAGCUCAGUCUUGCAAAUCACAUAGGACUUCUUUUCUACCAAGGUCGAUAGAUUCCAUCUAGAUGCAUCCUACUUCAAACAGCGAAUCUGAACCCACUGAAGCCAACAUACACAGCAAGGAUCCGAAUGGCUAAGGACCAAGGGAACGUGCAGUCAAACUUAGUAGCCUCGCUGCGAAUAGUCAAUGACACCGCAGGUCAAAGGACUACUUACACUACUGCAGCAUCGAGAAGAUCACUGACGAGUGAGUAGACAUCUAUAUGAUUUCUCGUGUUGGUCACGCUCAGUGCAAGUUGUUCUCUAACAACCACCCACACCCUCACCCUAAUGUCCCUACACUGCAGAUCUGAGACUCAUUUGCCUACAAGGGAGGUGAACUGUGUACCGAUCUCGAAUGGAUUGAUCACUGUCCUCCAUGACGAUCCUUUGAUUGGGAGCAUUUAAAAAUUAAUCACUAAUUAAUGUAUGUCUCAAAUUCUAAACACAUUGAGAAUAUAUAAAAAUUAUCUUUGUUAAUUUCUAGGAUAAAUCAUGGACACAUAAACAUGAUUGAAAUGAAAAAGUUUCUUAUUGAUAAUAAAAAGUUAUAAGUAUAAGUUUAAGUCUUAGAAUUAUAAAAUGCGUUAGUCAACAAUUAGCUUCUAGGGAACAAAUCUAACAAACUCUCACUUGACCUAAAGUUAAUUGGCUAUAUACCUAAGAUCCAUCUUCUCAAGGUGAGCUUCGGUCUUCUGCUGGCUAAGAAGCUUGGUUAGCGGAUCCGCCACGUUUAGCGCGGAUCGACUCACUGCACUUCGAUGAACUUCUUCUCGAGGUAUUCGCGUAUGAUGUGAAACCACCGCUCUAUAUGCUUGGGUUUCUGGUGAGAUCUGGCCUCCUUAGCGAGGGCUAUGGCGUCGUUGUUGUCGCAAUGCCGUGCAAUGGCAUCUGAUGGCAUCACACUCAGAUCCGCAACAAACUUCUUGAACCAAAAGGCUUCUUUAGCAGCUUCAGAGACGGCGAUGUACUUGACUUCCAUGAUUGAAUCUGCAAUGAUCGGCUGCUUGGAACUCUUCCAGCUAAUCGCACCACUAUUACAUAAGAAGAUACAUUCCGAUGUAGACUUUCUAUCAUCGACAUCAGUAAUAAAGUCUGAAUCGAUGUAUCCCUUUACUUUUAGCUCCGAUCUUCCACCAAAGGCCAACAAUAAAUCUUUUGUCCUUGUCAAGUACUUAAGGAUGAUUUUAACAACAAUCCGGUAUUCUUCAUCUGGAUUUGCCUGAUAUCUACUCGUGACACUCACGGUAAGGGCUAUAUCAGAUCGUAUACAUAACAUUGCAUACAUGAAGCUUCUUGUUGUCGAAGCAUAAGGGAUCUUGCUCAUGCACUGGAUCUCCUCAGUUGUAUCAAGACACAUCUUCUUGGAGAGAUGAAUGCCAUGUCUAAGGGGCAAAAAACUCUUGAAGUUUUUCAUACUGAACCUCUUCAGCAUCUCCUCUAUGUGUUGGGAUGCGUAGGCGAUUUCAUGCAUGUACUUCGAAAUUUUUUUGAAAAAAUUACAGGGGAAGACAACUAGAUUAAUCAAAUUAAUCUAACAUGUAUAUGAUCUAAUCAUCAAAUCAACCUAUUCUAGGAUCUAUGACAUGUUAUGUUGCAUAUAAAAUCUGAAAUAAUCUGAAGAUAAAAUCAGCAUGCAUGCAUAUGAGCAGUAGAUCACAUAUACUUCUAAUCUGAGUUCAGAACUCUAUAUCUGAUCACGGAUCGACGAUCUCCGCUGCUGAGAGAUAUGGUGGAGAGGAUCCUUGCUGGUUGCUCGCAGCCGUACAUGCGUCCGGCCUCUAUGAAAAAUCCAUUUGAAGCUCCGAUCUGAUCAGUCUUCUCUGGAGUGCUAGCUCGCGCGAAGACUUUCUUGACUGAUCUGGAUCUUUUUUUCAAAUCUCUGGAACCUUUUCAGAGGUUGAAGAUGGACUUCUAGAGGAGAUGAAGAGGUAGAAGAAAGAUGAAGAAGAAAAUAAUUUUUUUUCUAAUUUAUUCUCUCUUUCCAAAUCCUUAGAACCAAAAAUCUGAAAUUCAAGUUUUUGCGCACAUCCGAAGAGAGAGGAUCCUCUCUAUUUUUCAUACUAUGAACCAUGCCCAAACUUUUAUCACGUGAAGAACUCUCUUCUGGUAUCUUACACAUACAAAAGAAAUCAUAAAAGCCCCUUUUAUAGGCGUGUAAGGGGGUGAGAUGAAGAGUCCUAGUGAUCCUGGACUCUUAUAGGAUUUCGCCUCCCUUCACAAUUCCACAUCCCAAAAUACGCCAAAAAAAUAUUGGAUGCUCCUCAUAUUUUUCCACGAUAAAUCAGUUCUCCAACUGAUCUCCCACGAAAAAUUUUCUCAAAAUGUUCACACAUAUAAGGAGAAAAAAAUUUAUUGGCGUAAAGAGGUUGAUCUGGAUGAGAACAGAUUCUCCUGAGAAGGAAUAUUUUGAAAUUCACUUUCAGAACCUUCCUUUUAUCAAAACCAAAUCAGAUUUGGACGUGAGAUAUAGAAGAGAAAGGACUCUUUGGUAUGAAAGAAUAUCAUACAAAAUAAUUGUGCGUGGAGAUAUAUGGCAUGCAAACUGGGUUGGUGCAAGAGAGAAAAGUCCUAUUCCAAUAAGGACUCUUAAUUUUUUUAUUUGAAUCCAAAUCAAAUCACAUCCGGUUUAGUCCAAAUAAAAUAUAUAAAAUCCAAUUUAAUUAGGUUCAUAAAUUCUUAAUCAAAUCUCNNNNNNNNNNNNNNNNNNNNGUUAAUUAGUAAUUUAAUGAUUAAUUAAUCCUUCAUUAAUUCAUAACACUUAGUGAAUUAAUUUAUUACAAUUUUUGCAUAAGGUUAACAAUCAAUCGAAUUGACCAUUAAGUCCUUAAAUGAUUCUCAAUCGUUGAUCAGCCACAUGAUCAGUCAGAAACUUCUUUUGAGUGUGACCUCAUAGGUUCGAACUUAAGUCGGUAGCAUAGAAACACCUUUCUGAACCAAUCGACGUAACGAUCUAGCAAUGAUGACCCGACGUUCGGAUAGGUCGAAUGAUGGCAAAGUAACAUUCAAAAAUCUAUUGGCGUAUGAUUACCGUAUAAUUCAUUCCUUUGAUCCUAAUGCUCGAGGACGACAUAGGAUUUAACUGUCAAUCCUAGAUAAGUCAUCCAUAUUGUAUUUCAUUCUUUUUCAAAUCCAUCACAUGGAUAUCCGGACCCAGAUUUUGCUAAAUUGAAAUACACUGAUGAUAUCUCCUACUAAUUUGGAAGGAUCAAUCUCAUUCUGACUCACGCAUUGACUUGACAAGUACUUGACUGUACUCAGAAAUCUUCCAUCACUGAAUUAGAAACCCAGUUUGACACUAAAGUAUAGUGAGUUGCUUGCAAGUCACCGUGGUGAUCUCAGAUCGGAGGGACACUUAUACCCAUACUCUUCGUGAGCUAUCAUUGACAGUAGAGUGCUCCGCAGUGGGUCACGUUCAGUGGCGAUGUACUCUUACAUCUCACCUGCAUGCCAUACCAGUAUCUCCAUACCAUUUGGUUACGAGGACAAUCAAUGCAUAUGGCACACAACGACCUACAUUUGAUAUCGCUAUCGUCCUAGUCAUAGCGUAUCGUUUGGUCGCGAACCAAUUUAAGGACUACGCGAUAAAUCUUCUUUUAUCGAUCAAAGUAGUCCUAAGGACUUCAUCACAACAUAGGAGUUCGUUAGCAGAUGUAUCUUUAUGAUAAAAAAUAUCAAAUAAUUUUUAUUAUUUAUCAAUUCAUAUACAAUUAUAGUUAGCACAAUCGUCAGAUGAUUGAUUUUAGGACACAUUUUUCAAUACUAUGUACAUUCGCUGUGAGAGUUCUAUCAUCUUAGAUCUAUCUCUAUAGACCUUUAUACUAAGAAUGUAGGAAGCUUUUCGUAGGUCUUUCAUGACAUUUUUUUGAUAACCAUACUUUAACCGAUGUCAGCAUGGGAAUAUCAUUUUCAAUCAGGUGGAUGUUAUCCACGUACGAUACGAGGAAUGUGAUAGCGCUCCCACUGAUCUUUUUGUACAUAAUGACUCCUCAUUUUUGAUGAAAUCAAAUGUUUUGAUUACAUCAUUGAAGCGAGUGUUCCAACUUCAAGAUGUUUGUUUAAGUCCAUAUAUGGAUAUUUGCGGCUUGCAGAUCUUGUGAUUAUUAUCACUGGAUAUGAAAUUCAAAGACUGCUCCAUAUAGAUAUCUUUCUCAAGAUAUCCAUUUAGGAAGGCAGUUUUCACAUCCAUCUACCAAAUUUCAUAAUCAUGAAAGGCUGCUAUCGCAAGCAGAGUACGGAUGGAUUUCAGUAUGGCCAUGGAUGCAAAGGUUUCAUGAUAGUCAAUGCCUUCACGUUGACUAUAACUUUUCGCAACUAGCCUUGCCUUAUAGGUCUCUACCUUACCAUCUGAUCCUAUUUUUCUUUUGUAAAUCUAUUUACACCCAAUAGGUAUAAUACCUUCAGNNNNNNNNNNNNNNNNNNNNNNNNNNNNNNNNNNNNNNNNNNNNNNNNNNNNNNNNNNNNNNNNNNNNNNNNNNNNNNNNNNNNNNNNNNNNNNNNNNNNNNNNNNNNNNNNNNNNNNNNNNNNNNNNNNNNNNNNNNNNNNNNNNNNNNNNNNNNNNNNNNNNNNNNNNNNNNNNNNNNNNNNNNNNNNNNNNNNNNNNNNNNNNNNNNNNNNNNNNNNNNNNNNNNNNNNNNNNNNNNNNNNNNNNNNNNNNNNNNNNNNNNNNNNNNNNNNNNNNNNNNNNNNNNNNNNNNNNNNNNNNNNNNNNNNNNNNNNNNNNNNNNNNNNNNNNNNNNNNNNNNNNNNNNNNNNNNNNNNNNNNNNNNNNNNNNNNNNNNNNNNNNNNNNNNNNNNNNNNNNNNNNNNNNNNNNNNNNNNNNNNNNNNNNNNNNNNNNNNNNNNNNNNNNNNNNNNNNNNNNNNNNNNNNNNNNNNNNNNNNNNNNNNNNNNNNNNNNNNNNNNNNNNNNNNNNNNNNNNNNNNNNNNNNNNNNNNNNNNNNNNNNNNNNNNNNNNNNNNNNNNNNNNNNNNNNNNNNNNNNNNNNNNNNNNNNNNNNNNNNNNNNNNNNNNNNNNNNNNNNNNNNNNNNNNNNNNNNNNNNNNNNNNNNNNNNNNNNNNNNNNNNNNNNNNNNNNNNNNNNNNNNNNNNNNNNNNNNNNNNNNNNNNNNNNNNNNNNNNNNNNNNNNNNNNNNNNNNNNNNNNNNNNNNNNNNNNNNNNNNNNNNNNNNNNNNNNNNNNNNNNNNNNNNNNNNNNNNNNNNNNNNNNNNNNNNNNNNNNNNNNNNNNNNNNNNNNNNNNNNNNNNNNNNNNNNNNNNNNNNNNNNCACAAUUUGCUUGUUAAUAGUUAUACUCGCAUCCAUAUGCAAAUGAUAAAGACCGUCAAUUAAGAAAGUACGUGCAAUAAUUUUAUUUUCGAAAUUAAUUGAAUAUAUAUCUUUAUUGAAAUAAAAAUUAUAAUUAUCCUAUGCUAGCACAGAGAUGGAAAUCAAAUUCCUACUGGCUACAAGUACAUAAUAGCAGUCUUUAAGGAUUAAACUAACUUCUAACGAUAAUCGCAGAGGAUAGGUCUCGACGGCCACAACAGCAACCCUUGUUCUAUUGCCGGCUCGGAGAGUGAUCUCGCCUUUCCUCAGCUCUCUCACUUCUUCAAGAUCCUGUAUAGAAGUGCACAAAUGAGCACUUGAUCCAGAAUCUAGAACCCAACUAGAAGAAGAGGAAACCGUUAGAUUAGUUUCAAUAACGAGCAUAUCAUAUGUACCUUCAGAAGGUCCAUCCUUCUUCCUGCUCUUGACAGUCUUCAGGUGGGCCGGACAGUUCCUCCUCCAGUGGCCUUUGACGUUGCAAUGAAAAUACUUUCCUUUGUCAUUAGCCUUCUUCGGAACCUACUUCUUGGGCUUGGUCUCGUUCUUCUGUUCUUCACAGGCUUCUUCUUCUUGAAAGAAGAUUUUUUUUUGAAGGAAGCCCGCUCUACAGUCAGAACUGUAUCCUUUGAACUCUUUAAGGUGCCAUCUACUGUUAUCAGCAUAUUCAAUAACUCAGGCAGAGUGCUAUCAAUUUUGUUUAUAUAGUAGUUCACAAUGAACUGCCCAUAUGAAUCAAGAAGAGAUUGGAGGAUCAGAUCCACCUGCAAUUUCUUGUCCAUGUUCAUGCCGAGCUUUUGAAGUUCCUCGAUGUCCUUGAUCAUUGUCAAACAAUGAUUAUUGACGGAUUGUCCAUCACACAUCUUCGCUUUGAAAAAUCUUCGGGAGACCUCAAAGCAAGCUGUGUGACUCUGCUCACCAUACAACUCUUACAGAUGAGUCAGCAUCUCUCUGGCAGUCAUGUCUUCAUGCUGCUGCUGAAGUUCAUUGGACAUGGACGCUAAAAUAUAACACUUUACCUUGUUAUCUUCAUCCAUCCACUUCUCAAGUAUAGCUCGUUGAUCAGGGGAUGGACGAGCAGGUAACACAGGCGCAUCCUGGUCAAGGACAUGGGUGAGUUUCUUAGAGCUGAGAACGAUUCUCACAUUUCAGAGCCAGUCUUUAUAAUUCGUAUCGAUCAACCAAUUGAUAUCAAGGCUACGGGCUAAAGGGUUGGAACUCGACAUAGUUAUUUGUAGAAAGAACCGUUUCUAAUUAGAUGUUUGUACUUAUAAAAAUAUUUGUUCUAAGGAUUUUAAAAACAAACAAAAGCUCUCACUAUUUUCUUGAAUUUUUCACACUUGGAUGGAGAAACAGAAAUCUAUACGCGAUUGAUUUCAAGUGGGUACUGCGGUUCCAUUAAUCUAUACAAACCUCAUCUAAUAGUUAUUGGUGAGUAUAGACCAAUGAGUGGACAACACUUUAUCCAUUGCUUCACUAAGCAAAAUACAGUGGGCUUGGUCUCUAAGUCCUAUGACCUCACCUAGCAGUUAUUGGUACAUUUCUUAGUUAAGUCAGACCCAUUGUUCACCAGCAGGCGCAAAGCCGUCAUUGGGAUCUUCACCUAACAGUUAUUGGGCCCAAUCCCAUUUCUAUCUCAGGACAUCAAAUGUCAAUAAAGUGAUUGUACCUUCUCAAUGCAACCGAACCACUGUAACCAGCCGAGAACGAUCAAUGCCAGGAAGGCACCUGCAUCUCUACAACGAUGGAAGACCUUUAGAUUUAAUAUUUAAUGAGGAGAUUUAGAUUUAGGUCUCUUCUAAAUCAGCAGAUAUGACAUCCGACUGAUUAAAUUCAGGUCAGCACAUCAACAUGUCUAACCAGCCUAGUCGGUAUAGGUGAAGUUGAGUCAACAAGUAACCUAACACGAAACUGAAUCUCCCAAGAUGGCCAGAUAAGUUAAGAUGAGUGGGGGUCCUCUGUUGCUUUCCUUAGACACCAAUCAAAAUUGGGCAGAUCAGACAACGGAACCAAUUAAAUAACCACUAUCUAAAAACUUAUCUUAGACAUCAAAUUGGUCGAUUAGAAUCGAUCAGGUUAACCUAUUGAAACGGAUCUGAAUCACUGAGCUAAAUUCGGUCUUGAGUCAAUCAACUCACAUCAAAAUGUAAAUCGAUGCGAUCAACUAUAACCAAACUCGAUUUUGAGCCCUUUUGACUUAAUUCUAAUCAACCAUUGAUUAGGUUCAAUCAACUGCUCAAAAUCGACAACGGGUUCUAGCCUGAUCUAAUCAAUUUGAUUCUAAUUGUAGUUUGAUCACUAGACCUAAUUUGUUCAACCCAUACCCACAGCAAUAACAUAAUUUUAGAUCCAAAAAUGAUUUUUAGAUUAUGUUUCAUUGCAUGCAUUAGUGGCUUAUGAUCUUGAAACUGUUUCAGAUUUAAACCUAAGGUCAUAUAUAUAUAUAUAUGUAGUUUCAGAUCCAAACUAAAAUAUGUAUCACAUAUACAUCAAAUUUUAGAUCUAAAACUAAAAUUACACAUAUCAAAUACAUGUAAAAUCAGAUCUAAAAUAAUGAUUAAAAUAUUUUGAAAACAUCUUUUAAAAAAUCGGUUCGCAUCAAACUGGGACAACCUUUUCAAUAUAGGGGGUAAACUCUAUAUCAGGACAACUCUAUAUCAGUUUGAUACGAAUUUUUAAUCAUUCUAAUUUCAGAUCUAAACAUAAAAUAAGACAUAUCACAUCUGCAAAUUUUCAAAUCUAAAAGAUUGAUUUAAUUACUUUGAAAAUAGUUUUUAAAACCGAUCAAUCUUGUGCUAGGACAAUUUUUACAAUAUAGGGGGUAAACUCUAUAUUAGGACAACCUUAUCAGCACAAGAUCAAUUUUAAAUCACUAAAACUUUCAGAUCUAAGACAAAAAUCAGCUCAUAUGUGUCUUUAAAAAUCAGUGGCUCUGAUUCCACUGUUAGAAAGUCUGGUAGGGUGCAUAUGUAGAUUUCAAAAAUCUUUACAAUUGCAGCAGAAAAAUAAUCGGAUUAAACCCUUUAACCCCACAUGCAUUAAAUCUUAUCUAAUCCUAUCCAAGCCCAGGAGAAAAGACAUACAUAUAAUCUGAAAAUUAGAAUUAAGAUGAGAUCAAAUCUCAAUAUCUUUGCGUGGGUAGAAAUUCACCGUUACCGAUGAUCGCUGAUUUGAAAGUCCUCGAGCCGCACACGUGUCUGGCCUCUACAGGUAUCCAUCGGGAUCAAUUUUGAAUCUAUCUUCUCGAAGGAGUAGUAGUAGAUCCUUCUUCUCCGAGUAGGAUCUCAGUCCUUCGGAACCUCGAUCAACUCUUUGAUCUUCACUGCAAAAUCAACCCUUUGAACUGCAGCUUUUUCUCCUCGUUCCUCGCCGUAGGAGACUCCUCAACUCUUGGCGUGUAUAGAAGUGGGAUGCCCAACUUUUGGGCAUUGGAAAGAGGAGAAAAAAGGGGUGGUGUGGAGAAGGAGAGAGGGAGAGAGAUAUAUUUUUAAUCAAUAAAAAAAAAAUUUAAAAACCCUAGGACAUCUUCUCUUUAUAUAGGUCCUUGAUCCAAAUCAGGAAUCCAAUUAACUUAAAAAAGGUACAUCCUUAUCUCAUAAGGAUUUCUACCUUUUUAAUCUGAUUUUUUUUCAAUAAAAUCAGACUUAAUUGGUAGGAUAUCAGUCCACUUUGGCAAGUAUAUGGGGUGCCCCAGUCAAAUAUGGAAAUCUGAGUGGGCGCCCCUUGCAGUUGUGUGUCUCCUGAAUGCAAGGGUAUAUGAGCUUCUGUUAGAGAAGCAUGUGUGUAACCUACUAGAUAUUAAAUUAUAUUACUUACAGAUUUCAGUAAUGUUUACUUAUGGAAGUAUUGCAUAAAAUAUGUUUAGAGUAUCUGGUGUAUCAAAACUGUUGCUUGAAGAAAUUAUGAAAUUGAACUUCCAUGCUCAAACUGAUGUAGAUGGUCUCAAAUUGACAAUUGUUUUCAACUUAUUUUGCUCAAAUAAUUUCAGCCUUCAAACAACAGAUGGUAGAUUUGGCCUUAUGAGGUUUUAACCUGGAUACUAGAAAUUUCUAUAGCACAAGAAAGAGUAAUACAAGGAUGGAUAUGGUGGGUAAAAACAAGACUAAGAACAGUCGUAUCAAGGUGGCAAAAGUGAAAGGAAUUUGAAGUAUCUUGGAAGAAAUGAACUAUUGCAACACGAUGCAAUGGAGUAGUAUUUUAUAGUAGCAGCCCAAGCUAGUGUAACUAAACUGUAUUAUUGUGCUAAAUAAUGGUACAGUCAUGUCAGCAUAUCAUUAUCAAGUUCUUUUUGUACCUAAGAUGUUUGAAAUCUAAGGUCCUUUAGUGUCGAUGAAGGAUGUUUGAAGGUGUUGAGGAUGUGAACAAAAUCCUUUAGCCUUAACAGAAGCAUAGUAGAGUGUACCCCUUAGUGUUCUGUAAAAUGUUUAUGUAAUGGAUUUGUUAGAAUAAAUCAAGGGCAGUCCAAAGCACAUGACAAUAUUCCUAGCAAAUGGCAAAAUUUCUCUACAUUUAUUCUGUACAUAUUGUAAUAUUUCCUUUUUUGUAUUUUUGACCCUUAGAUUUUGCAGCUUAUUGUAACUAACCCAUGAAUCCUGGGAUCUCCUUCAUACAGUUGCUGUUCAUAUUCAGUUUAUGUGAUAAUAGAAUUUGAGCCAUUUAAGCCUUCAUAUUAUUUUACAUGGUUUUAAAGCAUUAACCCUCUCCUCCUCCUCCCACUCAAAAUUUUCUUAGUUCAUUUGUUUGCUUCCUUUGAAACCUAUGACCUCCAAUACCAAUCAAUCAAACACUAUGGUCAACAAUUCUUCUUCCACCACCACUCAUGAAUCUUUCCUUCUUGACACUUAUUCGAGCCCUUACUACCUUUAACAACAUCCUAGUUUCAAGCCCAUUGAAUGGUCACUAUUACCCAACUUGGUGUAGGGCAAUGUUAAUUGCUCUCACCAUGAAGACCAAAGUCAGUUUUGUCAAUGGCUUGAUUCCAUGACCAGAUGAUAGGAUCAUCUAUUCUAACACUUGGAGGUGUGGAAUAAUCUUCAUAACAGAUGUUCUCAAUGUAAUGUUGUUAAAAUUUAUCAACUUUGCCAGUCGAUUAUCAAUUUCUAGCAAGGCCUGAAAUCUGUGGCAGCCUAUUAUAAGCAUCACAAGGCAUUUUAGGAUGAAUUAUCUACUUAUACUGUCCCUCCAACAUGCUCAUGUGGUGUCUUGAAAUUGUAUAUUGGCAUGCAGCAUCAGGAAUGACUGAUGCAAUUUCUUGCAAAUUUGAACGAGUCCUGUGCCGCUAUUCGCAGCCAAAUCCUCUUUGUGGAUCAUUUGCCUUUAGUUACCAAGGCAUACUCUUUAAUCUUGCAACAGGAGCAUCAAAGGAGUAUACAGAUCCCUCCUAUGCUUGAUGCCUAUAUUGUGGCUACCACAGAGCAAACAACUGAUGUUGCUAGUUUUGUAGCUACUGCAGUACAACGUCCUUCCUCUAUAGGCUCUAAUGCUUGUUGCAAGCUGCAUCAUAAACAACCUUGCUGCGACCAUUGCAACAAAAUAGGCCACAUUCUUGCUCAAUGUUAUGCUUUAAAUGGCUACCCAAAGAAAGCUGCUGAUGUGACUCAAUUACAUCCUCUUGAAAGUCAACUUGCAUCAACUUCUAAAGCACCACCUCUGACUUAUGAUCAAUACAAACAGCUACUUGUCCUACUCUCUAAUAGUAAAACAUCACCUUUCUCCAGUUUAGCUAAUGGUGAAAGUAAAACCUCUCCUUCUCCCAAUUUAGUUGGCAAGCCACCUUCUAACUCUCAUUCAGAUCUUUGGUGCAGAGGAAUUUUGCCAUAUGCCAGGAAUUUUGCCAUGUGCUUUUGACUAUCCUUGGCAUUGGCAUUUGGGACAGCUAUCAUGCUCUCGUUAUCUUUUCCUUGCCAAGUCAAAUAAUGAUAUCUCUGUUUCCAAAACACAUCACUGUAGUGUGUGCCCUUUGGUAAAACAAACUAGACCACCUUUUUCUGUUAGCUCAUGUUCUACUUGUCCCAGUUGAAUUAAUUCAUUGUGACAUUUGGGGUAAGAUGCUUGGUACCAUGUUUAUCUGGUGCACAUUAUUUUUAACAAUUGUUGAUGAUUACACCUGUUUCAGGUGGGUAUAUUUGGUGCAACACAAAUCAAAAGUAUCUCAUUUUUUAAAUCUUCCAUAACCAUGGUGACAAGUCAAUUUAAUCAUUUUGUUAAAAAAUUUUCGAAGUGACAAUGGUUUUGAAUUCUUUUCCCAAGAUUUAAAUUUCUUCUUUCAAGAACGUGGGAUCCUUCAACAACAUACUUUUGCUAGAACUCAAUGAAAUGGAGUUGUCGAAAGAAAACUUCAGCAUUUACUUGAUGUUGCUCGAGCAUGAAGAAUGCAUAUUUGCCUUUGUCCUUUCGUGGUGGCUGCUUCUUAUAGCUGCCUACUUAAUUGACCAAAUGCCUUAUGUUUUUUUAAAUUAAAAGAAUCCACAUGAACAAUUUUUUUAACUCUGAAUCCACUUACAAGCAUCUUCAUGUUCUUAGUUGUUUAGCUUAUGCCCAUACUAUCCACACGAGCAUAAAUUUGAUGCUCAAGCUCGAUGAUGUGUGUUCAUUGGUACCCAUAUGGUCAAAAGGGACAUAAGCUUUAUGACCUUGAUAACAACAACACUUUUAGUAGCCAAGAUAUCAAAUUUAAUGAAUCUAUAUUUUCUUUUUGUAAAUUACUUGUUGAUCCUCCAACCCAUUUUGUUGUUCCUUUACCAAUUCAUAAACAAACAUGUGAGAUAUCACCCCCACAUUCAUUUGAUACUUCUCUAGCAACCGUACCAAAUCCUGGUUCUAAUACGGACCAAAUGAAUCUCUCAAAUUCCAAUGAAUGCAAUCAUGCUGUUGUUGAGUCCCACAUUUCCCCUCAAGACAACUCUUAUGCUCCCAUGAUCCCUCCUCAUUCCUCUCAACAACAUUCCAUCCCAUGUCAGAUGAAUGAUUUUGAGUGCUCCACAAUUACUCAUUGCCACUUUCCAUUGGCUUCUUUAAGAGUGAUGUCUAAAGGUAUUAAAUAGUAAGGUUUUCCAUGUCGGAAUUGGACCUCAUGUUGGUCGGUUGGCAAUAUGGUUCAGUAUGCCCUUGUAUCGUUCUGUACAAGGCCCAACAUGACAAAGAAAGUGGGGAAGGAGAAUAGGAGAGGAAAAGAUAGAGAGGGGGAGGGAAAGUGAGGGAGGGAAGCAAAGGGAGAUGACAGAGAUGUCGGUGGUGGCCGUCGAAGGGCCAUGGAGGCCCUUGGGUGAUCGGAGGAGCAAGAAACUUUAAACAGACCGAAUUGAGAGAGAGGGGGGGAUGGAGGGAGAGGGAGGGAAGGAGAGGGAGAUGGCAGAGACAUCGGAGGGCUGUAGAGGCCCUCGGAUGACCAGAGGAGCAGAGAACUUUGAAUGGACCGAAUUGAGAGAGGAAAAGGGGGAGAGAGGGGGAGGGAGAGCGAGGGAAGGAGAAAAGGAGGGCGGGAAUACCUGUGGAGGCCAGCGGUGGCUACCGGAGAGCCGUAGAGGCCCGAAUCCUUUGCCCCACCUUCCGUUCAAUAACAAAUUUGUGAUUUUAUUUUUUUCGCUAAUAGUGAAGUCAUUGGCAACAGGUUUGUUGACUUCAUUAUGGGUCAGUAAAAUAAAAAAUGGGUUAUUAGGUGAAGUCUGCAAUAGUGUUAUUCCCUAAGAAAUAUGAAAUAGGGGCUUGGCCUCUUUUUUGAUUGGCGACUUUCAGCCUCCAACUUCAUUGGCGAGUCUUCGGCAAGCCUCCGAAGGGUCUCUCUCCCUCUCCCCUCUCCUUUCCCACCUCUCUCUCUCUCUCUCUCUCCNNNNNNNNNNNNNNNNNNNNNNNNNNNNNNNNNNNNNNNNNNNNNNNNNNNNNNNNNNNNNNNNNNNNNNNNNNNNNNNNNNNNNNNNNNNNNNNNNNNNNNNNNNNNNNNNNNNNNNNNNNNNNNNNNNNNNNNNNNNNNNNNNNNNNNNNNNNNNNNNNNNNNNNNNNNNNNNNNNNNNNNNNNNNNNNNNNNNNNNNNNNNNNNNNNNNNNNNNNNNNNNNNNNNNNNNNNNNNNNNNNNNNNNNNNNNNNNNNNNNNNNNNNNNNNNNNNNNNNNNNNNNNNNNNNNNNNNNNNNNNNNNNNNNNNNNNNNNNNNNNNNNNNNNNNNNNNNNNNNNNNNNNNNNNNNNNNNNNNNNNNNNNNNNNNNNNNNNNNNNNNNNNNNNNNNNNNNNNNNNNNNNNNNNNNNNNNNNNNNNNNNNNNNNNNNNNNNNNNNNNNNNNNNNNNNNNNNNNNNNNNNCUCUCUCUCUCCUCCAUCUUUUCCUCCUCAUUUCCGGCCCUCCAACGGGCAUAGAGGCCCUCUGAUGGCGUCGGCCAGCCUCCAACAGCCUUCGAGGGGUCUCUCUCCCUCUCCUUUCCUCUCCUCUCCUCUCUUCUCCUCCUCUCCCCAUGUCAUUCUAUCUCUUUUCCUUCUCUCCUCCUUGUUGGCCCUCUAGCAGGUGCAGCGGCCCUCUAGCAGCCUCGACUGCCCUUUAGGGGUUCCCUCUCUCUCUUCGUCUCUUUUCCUCCCCCCUUUCUCUCUUUUCCUCUCUUUCCUUUGGCAUUCCAAAUUUCAUGCCAGAACCAUGCUGAUAGGUGCUAGUACAAUCCGACAAGCCUUGAACCAUCUGGUUUGGGUCAAUUUGGUGAAUCCUACUAAAUACCCUAUAUGUUACUACCAUAACUCUUUGACAUUUUUCCAUGUCUCACCUUGCUCUUGUUUCAGCUUUAUGCUAUAAUUCUAAACUUAGAACUUUUAGCGAAGCAGUGAAGCAUUCACAUUUGAGAGAUGCCAUGGUAGCAGAAAAAAAUCGGAGCAUUGGAAGAGAACAAUGUUUGGAUUGUCACUUCUCUUCCACCAAAAAAGAAACCCAUAGGCUGCAAAUGGGUUUACAAAGUCAAAUACCAUGCCC
This 29937-nucleotide long non-coding RNA is filed under the name Elaeis guineensis (African oil palm). RNAcentral describes it as "long non-coding RNA (EGUI_LNC047747)". The record is from RNAcentral. Lineage: Eukaryota; Viridiplantae; Streptophyta; Magnoliopsida; Arecales; Arecaceae.